Molecule: ribosomal RNA, 253 nt
Filed under: uncultured bacterium
Lineage: Bacteria
Description: partial 16S ribosomal RNA
Rfam family: Bacterial small subunit ribosomal RNA
Source: RNAcentral
UACGUAGGGGGCUAGCGUUGUCCGGAAUCAUUGGGCGUAAAGCGCGUGUAGGCGGUUCGGUAAGUCCGCUGUGAAAGUCGGGGGCUCAACCCUCGAAGGCCGGUGGAUACUGUCGGACUAGAGUGCGGAAGAGGCGAGUGGAAUUCCUGGUGUAGCGGUGAAAUGCGUAGAUAUCGGAAGGAACAUCAGUGGCGAAAGCGGCUUCCUGGACCGACACUGACGCUGAGGCGCGAAAGCCAGGGGAGCAAACGGG